This 377-nucleotide transfer-messenger RNA is filed under the name Parafilimonas terrae. Its description in RNAcentral is "Standard tmRNA". It matches the Rfam family "transfer-messenger RNA". From Rfam's summary of the family: Bacterial tmRNA, also known as 10Sa RNA or SsrA, is named for its dual tRNA and mRNA-like properties. Its role is to liberate the mRNA from a stalled ribosome. Lineage: Bacteria; Pseudomonadati; Bacteroidota; Chitinophagia; Chitinophagales; Chitinophagaceae. The record is from Rfam by way of RNAcentral.
GGGGCUGUAUUGGUUUUGACAGCAUCCGUUUGUGGUAAGUGUAAGCAUGCCGUGCGUUGUACCGUUUGCACGCUAAUCCGAAAGUUCAAACUACAAAUGGCGAAUCUAACUUCGCUAUGGCUGCCUAAUCAGUGAUUAGUUAGUCAUUAGGGCCGCGUUGAGCCGGUUGUUCUGUUACCACGCUCCGCCGCCGACUCAAAAACAAAUACAGAAUGCUGCAACAGAAUGCUGUGACUGUUGCAAAAGAUUAUUCAGCUAAGCGAAUAAUUGGUUGGUUUGUUCCCGCUUAUUUGCCGACAAUUAAUAAUAAACUAAGCAUGUAGAAAGCUUAUGGCAAAGAUGUUUGGACAGGGGUUCGAGUCCCCUCAGCUCCACAA